This is a non-coding RNA of Triticum urartu, 125 nucleotides long. The record is from Rfam. Lineage: Eukaryota; Viridiplantae; Streptophyta; Magnoliopsida; Poales; Poaceae.
GAAUUACUCCCUCCGUCCGAAAAUACUUGUCGUAGGAAUGGAAGUAAAUGGGUGUAUCUAAAACUAAAUUGCAUCUAGAUACAUCCAUUUCUUCGACAAGUAUUUCCGGACGGAGGGAGUACAUG